UGUGAUUGAGAGUAUUGUUUUAGAGAAGGAUUGAAUUACAUUGUAAUUCCAACUGAAUAGGUUCUCCGAACAACUUCUACAUUAGCUUGGGUAGCUAUGACAUAUGGUUAGAUGUCACUCAUAGCUUGUGAGUUCUUCUAGAUGAUUAAAUGUAGUCAUCAAAGAAGAAAGGUGAAUUAAAAUGAAGUUUUAAUUCACUAAGUGAUUGGAUUAAAUAUAAUCAAUUGAAUUGAUGUCAAUCACCUCACUGCCUUGCUAAUUAGAACCUAAAAUGAUUGUACACCAAUACACUCUUGUAGUGAGUAAUUAAUGGAUGA
Molecule: long non-coding RNA, 317 nt
Filed under: Malus domestica (apple)
Lineage: Eukaryota; Viridiplantae; Streptophyta; Magnoliopsida; Rosales; Rosaceae
Description: long non-coding RNA (MDOM_LNC000025)
Source: RNAcentral